This 374-nucleotide ribosomal RNA is filed under the name uncultured soil bacterium. RNAcentral's name for it is "bacterial SSU rRNA". It matches the Rfam family "Bacterial small subunit ribosomal RNA", at positions 26 to 387 of the family's 1533-position model. The record is from RNAcentral.
AGAUUGAACGCUGGCGGCAGGCCUAACACAUGCAAGUCGAGCGGCAGCACGGGUACUUGUACCUGGUGGCGAGCGGCGGACGGGUGAGUAAUGCCUAGGAAUCUGCCUGGUAGUGGGGGAUAACGCUCGGAAACGGACGCUAAUACCGCAUACGUCCUACGGGAGAAAGCAGGGGUACCUUCGGGCCUUGCGCUAUCAGAUGAGCCUAGGUCGGAUUAGCUAGUUGGUGAGGUAAUGGCUCACCAAGGCGACGAUCCGUAACUGGUCUGGAGAGGAUGAUCAGUCACACUGGAACUGAGACACGGUCCAGACCUCCGUACGGGAGGCAGCGUAGGUGGGAAUAGUUAGGAACAAGUGGGACGAAAGCCGUAGAC